Molecule: ribosomal RNA, 351 nt
Filed under: Candidatus Parcubacteria bacterium
Lineage: Bacteria; Candidatus Parcubacteria
Description: bacterial SSU rRNA
Rfam family: Bacterial small subunit ribosomal RNA
Source: RNAcentral
AGAGUUUGAUCCUAGCUCAGGAUGAACGCUGGCGGCGUGGAUAAGGCAUGCAAGUCACGGGGGCAGCAAUGCAACCGGCAGACGAGGUAGUAAUGCGCAGGUACGCACCGAAGAGUCGGGUAUAGCUCGUCGAAAGACGGGGUAAUCCCCGAUAGUCUCUCCGGAGUAAAGGAGUCUAUUUAUUUAGAUUUCCGCUUUUUGAGCGGCCUGCGUGGUAUCAGCUAGUUGGUAAGGUAAUGGCUUACCAAGGCUACGACACCUAGGGGACCUGAGAGGGUGACCCCCACCGAUGGGACUGAGACACGGCCCAUACACCUACGGGUGGCUGCAGUCAAGAAACUUCCACAAUGG